Molecule: RNA transcript, 2962 nt
Organism: Mercenaria mercenaria
Lineage: Eukaryota; Metazoa; Mollusca; Bivalvia; Venerida; Veneridae
Gene name: aldehyde dehydrogenase, dimeric NADP-preferring-like
Exons: 16
Source: RefSeq, a predicted model, not a curated record
UAUCGUUCUAGUGUUGUGUGUCUUAUGUAUUUCUAAUCAAACACGACCUCGUUCUACAUUUUGACGUCCUAAUUUGUAAGGCGAAGAUGGCAAAUUAUUCCGAGGUAGUGACUUCAAUGAGGAGUGUUUUCCGGACAGGAAGAACAAAGAAUGUAGAAUGGAGAAGGUCACAGUUGAUGGCACUGCUGAAAUUGUUGGAUGACAACAGGGAAAGACUUUCUGACGCCUUAAAGAAAGACCUUAACAAGUCCAGAUUUGAAUCCUGUUUAAUGGAAGUGGACUUUGUACGGAAUGACUUGAUCAACACACUCAACAACCUGACAGAAUGGGUAAAACCAGAAAAGGUGAAGAAAGGGUUGAUCAACAUGAUGGACAAAGUUUAUAUCCGACGUGAACCAUUUGGAGUGGUUAUGAUAAUGGGAGCCUGGAAUUAUCCAGUACAGCUCACAGUUGCACCUAUGAUUGGAGCAUUAGCUGCAGGUAACUGUAUAAUGAUGAAACCAUCGGAAAUUUCUGAAAAUGUGGCAGCUUUGUUAGAGGAGUUGUUCCCUAAGUACUUUGAUACGGAGUGUAUCAAGUGUGUCUGUGGUGGCAUCCCAGAGACAACAGCUCUCCUCAAGGAGAAAUGGGACUAUAUUUUCUACACAGGUAAUUCUAUGGUGGGCAAAAUAGUAAUGAAGGCAGCAGCUGAAUAUCUCACACCAGUCACCCUAGAACUUGGUGGCAAGAGCCCAGUGUAUAUUGAUCAAGGCUGUGAUCUUGGUAUUGUUUCAAACCGAGUUUUAUGGGGUAAAGUUAUGAAUGCAGGACAGACAUGCAUUGCUCCAGAUUACAUCAUGUGUUCAAAAGAAACACAGGAUGCUCUUGUAGAGAAGAUGAAAGCCACUCUUGGAGAGUUUUACCCUGAUGGACCAGCCAAGUCACCAGAUUAUUGUCGGCUUGUCAGUGAUAGGCAUUACCAGAGAGUGAAGAAGAUGAUAGGUGGAGGAGGGAAAGUGGCUCUGGGCGGUGACUCUGAUGAUUCACAAAGAUAUAUUGCACCUACAGUACUCACUGAUGUCACCUUCAGUGAUCCUAUCAUGCAAGAUGAGAUAUUUGGACCAGUGUUACCCAUUGUACCAGUGAAAAACGAAGAUGAAGCUAUUGCUCACAUAAAUGAGGGAUGUACAGGCACGCCAUUAGCUUUUUAUGUGUUUUCAAACAACCAACAAGUUGUCAAUAAACUUGUGGAAGGGGCCAAUUCAGGGACCUGCUGUGUUAAUGACUGUUUAAUGCAGGCAAGCUUACCAACAUUACCGUUUGGUGGAGUAGGUAAUAGUGGAAUGGGUGGUUACCAUGGUAAAUUCACAUUUGACACAUUCUCACAUAAGAGAGGUUGUAUGGAGAGAGGACUGAAAAUGGAGAGUGUUAACAAUAUGAGAUAUCCUCCAUUUACAAAGAAAAAGGAAAACACUGCCGCAUGGAUCAUGAAAAAGAAGUUGAAAAGCAAUGGAAGCAUGUCCCUGAUUCCAUACUUCAUUUUCGGAACUCUGUUUGCUGUCAUUUUAAAGCUUUACAUGAAAUAUUAUAGAUGAAUGAAAAUAGUAAACUGUAACAGACUAUGAAGUCAGUGUUUUAGUUUCAAGAUGGAAAUUUCAUAAGGUUAUUUUUGCUCCUGAGACACCAGUCAUGAACUUUUUCUCAAGAUAGAAGAUUUUGCUACAGCCUGGAUCCAGAAAGCUUAUUCAAGGAAACAGAUUUACAUACUAUGAUCAUGUUGAGUUUCCAGUAGAUAUUUUUGAAAAUAAACAUUUUAUGAUGAAUUAGAAGCAAAUUUGCAUUAAAAUGAACCAUUUGCCUUUUUAAUAACAUUGUUGAAAGUUCUGACUGAGAACCAGUAUCAGUAUUGAUGCAAAUACUGGACACAAAUAUUGUUACACUGAUUAUAUUGUAAAAGUUAAUGUAUGUAUUAUGUAUUCAUCUAUAAAUUGUUGUUAACUCAAUUGUCAUGUAAAUUUGUCAUGUAAAUGAAGUUGUCUGUCUGUGAUAUUGAAAAUGAAGACAAUUUUUAAUGAUGUUUGUAUUGAUUUUAAUAGAAUCUAUGAUAUUCAACACAUGAGUGCAAAAAUUGGAUCCCUACAAAUAGUGGAUAACUAUACUGGAAUAAAGAAUAACUUAUCCUAUGUAUGAAAUAAUGUGAAAUAAUGAUGAGUUUUGUUAUAUAAGAGACUUAACAGGAUAUUCAUCCAAGUUUUAAGUUUACUGCAAGCACAGUUCAUACUUAGACUUUCACCCUCAAAAAUUCAAGUUGCUGUAAUGAUAGAUACAAUCAAAAAAGACCUGAAAUAAUCAGACUUUGUCGCUUUGCUAGCUCUUCAAGUUUUAUGAAAAGAUUCAUUCACUUGCUAUAUGUAUUUUAGCUAGAUAAAACACUUUGCUGAGCAUGUACCUAAGUUAAAACAAUGUUUAUAUUCUGUUAAAUUUAAAAAGGUAACACAUAAUAAACAUAAAAUGAAUUCUUUUAAAUAGUAAAGACAAAGAGUCUGUUAAUGGACCAUAAAUUGCUUGUAUGUACCAUUGAUUUAAAUACAUUAAUUUGCCAUGUUGGUUAUGUGAGCUGUGUGUGUAUUGUUAAAGUCUGUACAGAUAUGUACUUCAUUUUAAAUGUGAAAGUUAUUCAUGAUUUUUGUGAAGAAUUGACCAGGAAUUUUACCCUGAUUUGCACUGAUAACGAAGUAUUUGUGACUUUAUACAAAUGUGGUCUUAAAAUGAAUUCUGCAAGUUGUAGAAGGUACAUCUCAAUAUGUUGUGAGAUAUUACAGUAUUAAUACAGUAUUAAUAUAACAAAGGAAUUAUGAACUAAAACUUCUACGUUUUAAACCAUUUUGUAUGGAUACUCUAUACUUAUUGAUUUCAUGUUAUAUUUGAUGAUGCUGCAUGCAAAUUGCUAAGAUGAUAAUAUAAUAAAAAUGCAUGUCUACAA